Kogia breviceps (pygmy sperm whale) is the source of this 1353-nucleotide non-coding RNA. Lineage: Eukaryota; Metazoa; Chordata; Mammalia; Artiodactyla; Physeteridae. The record is from RefSeq and is a predicted model, not a curated record.
AUGCUAACACAGUAAUUUUGCUUUCUCCAUCUCUUCCUUUUAAGUUUCCUCCGUAGCUUCCCCGGGAGUAAGGAGGCUCAGAGGGUUGGGGUCAGACAAGCUGAGCAAAACCCAGGUGCCCCUGAAUCUCCUUGAGCCUCAAUUUCCUCGUCCGUAAAAUGGGGGCGUCCUUUCCAGGAGGUGUGGCGGAGCCAGAGGAGGCUGUGCUCGCCUCCAGCAGGUGCCGGACGCCUCUGCUUCCUCUCUGUGUGCGUCUCUGCCCCUGUCUCCUUGUCUCUCUCUGUCUGUGUCUGUCUCUGUCUCUGCUUCCCCCCCCACCCAGCAGUCAUGCCCCGGCUACCUGGCCUCGACGCUAAGCCCUGGACGUCCAGAAGACGCACAUAGGAGCCCCUGCAGUGCCCUUCUUGAGCCACUCCUGGUUCAGGGUAGCGUUUGAACCUGCCCUUGGCCCGAGAGGCAGAAGGCCCAGGGGGCUGACGGGAAACGGAGGGGACGGCCGGCUUCUCUGCAGGAGUUGGAACUUGAGACAGACAGGCAGCUGGCAGCUGAAGCCAGAGCCAGAAGACACACAGAGGACAGUCCUUGGCUCUCCCAGGAUCGCGUCUCCUUCAAAGUGGCCGCACGACGAACUAGCUUGACGAGCUAAUCCCCAAACCGGAAAGAAAUGAGGCGCCAUUGAAAGCAGUCAGGCAGAUGUCACCUAGAUGAUGGCUCUCCCUCUCCUCUGCCCAGAAGGCUGAUGUGGAAACUGAGGCACAGACAGGGCAGCACCAGGAGUCUCACCCUGCGUUCUCACUCCAGAGCCUGAACUCCUAACAACCGCUGUCCUUCGCGGUUUUCAGGGAGCUGUCGGAAGCUAAGAGAUCUGUAACACUUUGGGCUUUGGGGUCAGAUGCGAUCUCUUCUCCUCUCCAGCUACCGUGAAGGUGGGGAAGGAUUGAACCUCUCUGAGUCCCAGGCUCCUCAUCUGUGUGACAAAGCAGGGCUCCUGCAGGAUUAAAUGGCCUGAGUUCUGUUACAGAAGACGCGGCCCCCCUGGUCAGAGCCGAGCCUCCAGGCUGAGAGGGGCCGGUGAGGGCGGAGUCUGAGGACUGUUCCCUGGGCAGCAGUUUUCCUUUGUCCCCUCGGUUGCCGCCCUCCUACCUCUACCCCACGGGGCGCUUUCUGACGGUUCUGGCAGCCCUCCUGCCUACGCUCUUCUGUCCAGGGUGACUCCUCAGCUUGUGUCUGCUGGCUCCCAGUGUGGCUUCAUGUUCAUGACAUAGAAUCACAGAGUCCCCUCAAAACCCGUGUUCUCGAAGGAGCGGAGGGUCGGAGGGCUGAAGUGGUCUGUCCCGUGUCGCAGGCUGUGCA